GAGUCCUACGGGAGGCAGCAGUAGGGAAUCUUCCACAAUGGGCGAAAGCCUGAUGGAGCAACGCCGCGUGGGUGAAGAAGGUCUUCGGAUCGUAAACCCUGUUGUUAGAGAAGAAAGUGCGUGAGAGUAACUGUUCACGUUUCGACGGUAUCUAACCAGAAAGCCACGGCUAGCUACGUGCCAGCAGCCGCGGUAAUACGUAGGUGGCAAGCGUUAUCCGGAUUUAUUGGGCGUAAAGGGAACGCAGGCGGUCUUUUAAGUGUGAUGUGAAAGCCUUGGGCUUAACCGGAGGAGGGCAUUGGAAA
RNAcentral lists this ribosomal RNA (305 nucleotides) under uncultured bacterium. RNAcentral's name for it is "bacterial SSU rRNA". It matches the Rfam family "Bacterial small subunit ribosomal RNA", at positions 334 to 632 of the family's 1533-position model. The record is from RNAcentral.